AGCGAACGCUGGCGGCAGGCCUAACACAUGCAAGUCGAACGAACCUUUCGGGGUUAGUGGCGGACGGGUGAGUAACACGUGGGAACGUGCCUUUAGGUUCGGAAUAACUCAGGGAAACUUGUGCUAAUACCGAAUGUGCCCUUCGGGGGAAAGAUUUAUCGCCUUUAGAGCGGCCCGCGUCUGAUUAGCUAGUUGGUUGAGGUAAUGGCUCACCAAGGCGACGAUCAGUAGCUGGUCGGAGAGGAUGAUCAGCCACAUUGGGACUGAGACACGGCCCAAACUCGGACGGGAGGGAGCAGUGGGGAAUCUUGCGCAAUGGGCGAAAGCCUGACGCAGCCAUGCCGCGUGAAUGAGGAAGGUCUUAGGAUUGUAAAAUUCUUUCACCGGGGACGAUAAUGACGGUACCCGGAGAAGAAGCCCCGGCUAACUUCGUG
This 434-nucleotide ribosomal RNA is filed under the name uncultured bacterium. RNAcentral describes it as "partial 16S ribosomal RNA". It matches the Rfam family "Bacterial small subunit ribosomal RNA", at positions 29 to 507 of the family's 1533-position model. The record is from RNAcentral.